This 446-nucleotide ribosomal RNA is filed under the name uncultured bacterium. RNAcentral's name for it is "bacterial SSU rRNA". It matches the Rfam family "Bacterial small subunit ribosomal RNA", at positions 331 to 794 of the family's 1533-position model. The record is from RNAcentral.
CCAGACUCCUACGGGAGGCAGCAGUGGGGAAUAUUGCACAAUGGGGGAAACCCUGAUGCAGCGACGCCGCGUGAAGGACGAAGUAUUUCGGUACGUAAACUUCUAUCAGCAGGGAAGAAAAUGACGGUACCUGACCAAGAAGCCCCGGCUAACUACGUGCCAGCAGCCGCGGUAAUACGUAGGGGGCAAGCGUUAUCCGGAUUUACUGGGUGUAAAGGGAGCGUAGACGGCCGUGCAAGUCUGAUGUGAAAACCCGGGGCUCAACCCCGGGACUGCAUUGGAAACUGCAUGGCUGGAGUGUCGGAGAGGCAAGUGGAAUUCCUAGUGUAGCGGUGAAAUGCGUAGAUAUUAGGAGGAACACCAGUGGCGAAGGCGGCUUGCUGGACGACGACUGACGUUGAGGCUCGAAAGCGUGGGGAGCAAACAGGAUUAGAUACCCCCGUAGC